RNAcentral lists this long non-coding RNA (967 nucleotides) under Glycine max (soybean). RNAcentral's name for it is "long non-coding RNA (GMAX_LNC000454)". The record is from RNAcentral. Lineage: Eukaryota; Viridiplantae; Streptophyta; Magnoliopsida; Fabales; Fabaceae.
AAUUUUGUUGCAUAUAUCGUGAGAGAGUGAGUCUUGGUAGAAAAACAACAUACUUGGAGAAAUUGAAGAAAAGCCUCAUUUCAUUACCUUUGUAACUUUGUUGUUCUCCUUCUCUUGUUCUCAAGCAAGGUCCAUCAUAUCAAUGUGCCUAUGCUAUGCCCUUGUUGUUCAAAUUUCUCUCUCUAAGAUGUCUCAAUCGAUCUCUUUCACUUAGAGGCCCUCUCUCCAACAGAUAUCAUUGUCUCAGCAGUUUCCAUCGAAUCGUAUAUACUUUUCAAGCUCAAAAUUGAUCCUUGUCCCACCAUACCUAGAGCUUUGAUAGUGAUAUGGGAAAAAUGUGAGGGUGAAAUGUGCAGGUCUCAAUUAUUUCAACUUUGAAUAAAGCUGACAGUUCCUUUCUUCUUUGUUUUUCCCUCAAUUUGUUUGAUUUUGACAGAAGAAUCCUUCUCUGAUCUCUUUCUCUAUCAUGUGCCACCAUUUUAUUUACCCGCUGUGUAGGAAAUUAUGGAUAUGUUUUGUACAUGGUGUCGCGCCAAGUUUAUUUAAUUUUUAUGCAAAAUUACGGUUUUUGUACGUCUAGAUCUAAAUUAUCUACAGCAUUUUAUCGGUUUUACUUUCAUCAAACAAUUUUCUUUUGAGGAUGUAAAUUAACUCCUAGAAUGAUUAAUUUUGAUGAGAAUAUUACCUCCGAUCUUUUUUAUAAAAAAAUAAGUGAUAAUAUAAAUAUAUAUAUAUAUAUAUAUAUAUAUUUAUAUUGUAUCUUGUUUUUUAUAAAAAAAAUAUCCACGGGAGUUAUUCUUGAUUAUUUUUUUUUUUACAGUUUACUGUCUUCCAAUAUAAUUAACCUUGAGUGGUGUUUUACUUAUCUGUGAAUAAUUUAUUUUGUAGAUGAAUUAACAACCUAGGAUACAUAUAUUCUGCAUCCAAUAUUCCAUGUCAAAUCUGGCCAUAUGUCCUUCAACUUGAG